Molecule: non-coding RNA, 172 nt
Filed under: Salinicoccus kekensis
Lineage: Bacteria; Bacillati; Bacillota; Bacilli; Caryophanales; Staphylococcaceae
Source: RNAcentral
UUUACCGUGAGGUAAGGGCUGAAGGCAGCGUGUAUCAAAAUCUUGGCUCGACGAAUAGAAAUCUGAUACUAAGGCGCGUUAGGCGGAUGAGACUCCUAUACAAGUCAAAGUCCAAACGAUGUGCGUAACCCUGACGAGUAAAUCAGACGAGUAAAAGAGGAAAGAUGGUCGU